RNAcentral lists this ribosomal RNA (440 nucleotides) under uncultured bacterium. Its description in RNAcentral is "partial 16S ribosomal RNA". It matches the Rfam family "Bacterial small subunit ribosomal RNA", at positions 338 to 795 of the family's 1533-position model. The record is from RNAcentral.
CCUACGGGAGGCAGCAGUGGGGAAUAUUGCACAAUGGGGGGAACCUUGAUGCAGCAACGCCGCGUGGGUGAAGAAGUACUCCGGUAUGUAAAGCCCUGUCAGCAGGGAAGAAAAUGACGGUACCUGACCAAGAAGCCCCGGCUAACUACGUGCCAGCAGCCGCGGUAAUACGUAGGGGGCAAGCGUUAUCCGGAUUUACUGGGUGUAAAGGGAGCGUAGACGGCAAGGCAAGUCUGGAGUGAAAGCCCGGGGCCCAACCCCGGGACUGCUCUUGGAACUGCGUGGCUGGAGUGCAGGAGGGGCAGGCGGAAUUCGUGGUGUAGCGGUGAAAUGCGUAGAUAUCAGGAGGAACCCCGGUGGCGAAGGCGGCCUGCUGGACUGCAACUGACGUUGAGGCCCGAAAGCGUGGGGAGCAAACAGGAUUAGAUACCCCGGUAGUC